GAUGAAGAAGCUCAACCCCGAAAUCAACGGCGUUGAUGGGUCGGAGUGGAACCCGUUAUCCACAACUGAUCCCAAGUCCCAGCGUUUCUUCUUCAAGAACCAGGCGCAGUUCGUGGACCCUGAUCCGGGCCACUCGUUUCAGGCCAUCAGGGAGCAGAUAUUCGGGUCGAACGACACCUCCUCGGAUCAUCCGCCGAUGAACGGGUUCGCCCAGCAAGCUUUUUCAAUGGACCCGUCUUUGAACAUGUCCCACAAUGUCAUGAAUGGCUUUGAGCCUGAUAUGGUUGCUGUUUACAAGACCCUUGUUUCCGAAUUUGCUGUCUUUGAUAGGUCAGUUUAAAACAGUUUUUAACUUGCACUCGUUUAACUUGUUAGGGGUAAAAUAGUAAUUGACUUUUCCAAAGGUUUAAAUGCAAUUUGAUCUGAGUAGUGUCAAAAUUUUAACAGAAAAAACUUGUCCAAGCAAGCUAUUAAGUGCUUUCCAGACAAAAAGACUAAAAAUUUAGUGCUUUCCAGUUACCAACUUUUGAAAGUUUUGGUGAAAUUCUUUAGAAUUCCUUAAUAAACAACAAAUCAUUUACAUAAAAGUAGUCAGUCAAUCAUAAGGAGACUCGAUUCAGUUUUCUUCUUAAUAGUGUAUGUUAUAUAAAGUCAAAUGCAUAAAUUUCAAUUGAUAUGGUAGCAUGUAAGAAAUUUUGUAAAUUCACGUGUAUAUAUAUAUAUAUUUUUAUGCUAAUAGUAUUCAUGAAUUAUUUAUUAGGUGGUUUGCCUCCGUGCCAUCAUCGACCCAACCAAACCGGCUGUACGUUCACUCCGGGACGUCGGCCGGAGCCACGAGCAACAUUCCGGCAAAGCUCGCCAAAGGGUACCCGCAGAGAACAAUUUUCGAGAACCUCGACGACGCCGGGAUUUCCUUCGGAAUAUACUACCAGAACAUUCCGGCCACACUAUUCUACCGGAACCUGAGAAAGAUCAAGUAUUGGGGGAAAUUCCAUCCGUACGGCACGUCGUUCAAGAAAGAUGCGAGGGACGGGAAGCUUCCGGGAUACGUUGUGGUGGAGCAGCGGUACACGGACACUAAGAGCGAGCCGGGCAAUGACGACCAUCCAUCGCAUGAUGUGUACCAAGGACAGAUGUUCGUGAAGGAGGUGUACGAAACCCUGAGGGCCAGCCCGCAGUGGAAUGAGACUUUGUUCGUGAUCACGUACGAUGAGCACGGUGGGUUUUAUGAUCACGUGCCUACGCCCGUCCGUGGGGUGCCCAGCCCCGACGGCAUUGUGGGGCCCGAACCGUUUCUCUUUAAGUUUGAUCGGUUGGGCGUUCGGGUUCCUACCAUUGCGGUCUCUCCUUGGAUUGAAAAGGGCACCGGUGAGUACACGUGAAAAAAAAAAAAAAAAAUCAGCUCACGGCACUCACUCACUCACUCUCACAUAUUCUUAUAUUCAUAUAUAUUCACAUCCACGUUCCUUUCUUCUUCAUGCACAACAAACCCAAAACGCAAAAAAAAAAAUGUUUUCAAAAACGAGCUUUGUUUUCUUAAUCUUGUUUUUAAUUGUUCGCAACAACAAUGUCAUCCAUGCAGGGAGCCCAAUCAAAACCAUCGUGGUGCUGGUGAUGGAGAACCGUUCGUUCGAUCACAUGAUCGGAUGGAUGAAGAAGCUCAACCCCGAAAUCAACGGCGUUGAUGGGUCGGAGUGGAACCCGUUAUCCACAACUGAUCCCAAGUCCCAGCGUUUCUUCUUCAAGAACCAGGCGCAGUUCGUGGACCCUGAUCCGGGCCACUCGUUUCAGGCCAUCAGGGAGCAGAUAUUCGGGUCGAACGACACCUCCUCGGAUCAUCCGCCGAUGAACGGGUUCGCCCAGCAAGCUUUUUCAAUGGACCCGUCUUUGAACAUGUCCCACAAUGUCAUGAAUGGCUUUGAGCCUGAUAUGGUUGCUGUUUACAAGACCCUUGUUUCCGAAUUUGCUGUCUUUGAUAGGUCAGUUUAAAACAGUUUUUAACUUGCACUCGUUUAACUUGUUAGGGGUAAAAUAGUAAUUGACUUUUCCAAAGGUUUAAAUGCAAUUUGAUCUGAGUAGUGUCAAAAUUUUAACAGAAAAAACUUGUCCAAGCAAGCUAUUAAGUGCUUUCCAGACAAAAAGACUAAAAAUUUAGUGCUUUCCAGUUACCAACUUUUGAAAGUUUUGGUGAAAUUCUUUAGAAUUCCUUAAUAAACAACAAAUCAUUUACAUAAAAGUAGUCA
Molecule: long non-coding RNA, 2243 nt
Filed under: Citrus sinensis (sweet orange)
Lineage: Eukaryota; Viridiplantae; Streptophyta; Magnoliopsida; Sapindales; Rutaceae
Description: long non-coding RNA (CSIN_LNC000958)
Source: RNAcentral